ACGGGGGGAGGAAAGUAGGGGAUCGCAAGACCUUUCGCUUUCGGAGUGGCCGAUAUCAGAUUAGCUAGUUGGUGGGGUAAAGGCUCACCAAGGCGACGAUCUGUAGCGGGUCUGAGAGGAUGAUCCGCCACACUGGGACUGAGACACGGCCCAGACUCCUACGGGAGGCAGCAGUGGGGAAUUUUGGACAAUGGGCGAAAGCCUGAUCCAGCCAUGCCGCGUGAGUGAAGAAGGCCUUCGGGUUGUAAAGCUCUUUCAGCCGGAAAGAAAUCGUGCAGGCUAAUAUCCUGCAUGGAUGACGGUACCGGAAGAAGAAGCACCGGCUAACUACGUGCCAGCAGCCGCGGUAAUACGUAGGGUGCGAGCGUUAAUCGGAAUUACUGGGCGUAAAGCGUGCGCAGGCGGUUUUGUAAGACAGGCGUGAAAUCCCCGGGCUUAACCUGGGAACUGCGUUUGAAACUACAAAGCUAG
This 471-nucleotide ribosomal RNA is filed under the name uncultured Nitrosospira sp. Its description in RNAcentral is "bacterial SSU rRNA". It matches the Rfam family "Bacterial small subunit ribosomal RNA", at positions 192 to 644 of the family's 1533-position model. Lineage: Bacteria; Pseudomonadati; Pseudomonadota; Betaproteobacteria; Nitrosomonadales; Nitrosomonadaceae. The record is from RNAcentral.